This 95-nucleotide non-coding RNA is filed under the name Prolemur simus (greater bamboo lemur). Lineage: Eukaryota; Metazoa; Chordata; Mammalia; Primates; Lemuridae. The record is from RNAcentral.
GGCUGGCCUGAUGGUACUGCAUUAUCAGAACUUAUUAACAUUAGUGUCACUAAAGUUGGUAUACAACCCCCAUUGCCAAAUUUGACUGGCUUAUA